RNAcentral lists this ribosomal RNA (253 nucleotides) under uncultured bacterium. Its description in RNAcentral is "partial 16S ribosomal RNA". It matches the Rfam family "Bacterial small subunit ribosomal RNA", at positions 524 to 776 of the family's 1533-position model. The record is from RNAcentral.
UACGUAGGGUCCGAGCGUUGUCCGGAGUGACUGGGCGUAAAGCGCGCGCAGGCGGCCCGCGAGGUGUCCUGUGAAAGCCCCGUGCUCAACGCGGGAGGGUCAGGGCAAACCGGCGGGCUUGAGGCCGGUAGAGGUGGGUGGAACUCCUGGUGGAGUGGUGAAAUGCGUAGAGAUCAGGAAGAACACCCGUGGCGAAGGCGGCCCACUGGGCCGGACCUGACGCUGAGGCGCGAAGGCGUGGGGAGCGAACAGG